CUGGGCACAGCACUAUUCAUUUCCUCUGAUAUGCUACUUCUUAGAGGUCAUGGUUAGAGACAGCAUGCCAGGAAAUUACUUCUGGAAAACUUAGGGAGUGCUGUCUGUAAGGACCUGAAAGAGCUGCCAGACCUUCUCUGUAAGAAAACCAAGUGCAAGUGUCAGAAACCUCUUGAAGAUUGAUUCACACCUGGCAGACGCUCAGUCCUGAAGGAACGAUUGCUCUCUCUCACAGGGUUUCAUUUGG
RNAcentral lists this long non-coding RNA (247 nucleotides) under Cyanistes caeruleus (blue tit). RNAcentral describes it as "lncRNA (ENSCCEG00000014521.1)". The record is from RNAcentral. Lineage: Eukaryota; Metazoa; Chordata; Aves; Passeriformes; Paridae.